GGAAUUUUUAAUACUAUGUAAAACUUAUAAAUUCAGAAUCAAGCUAUACUUAUUUCGUUUGAAUUGGAAUUAUUUUCAACAAACUUUGUUGUCUCAUACACAUUUGACAAAAAUUCUACAAAUAUUUAUCGGUAAGAAUCGAUUGCACCACAUCACUAUUAAA
This is a long non-coding RNA of Maniola jurtina (meadow brown), 163 nucleotides long. RefSeq lists it as uncharacterized. Lineage: Eukaryota; Metazoa; Arthropoda; Insecta; Lepidoptera; Nymphalidae. The record is from RefSeq and is a predicted model, not a curated record. The transcript is spliced from 2 exons.